AGUGAACGCUGGCGGUAGGCCUAACACAUGCAAGUCGAACGGCAGCACAGUAAGAGCUUGCUCUUACGGGUGGCGAGUGGCGGACGGGUGAGGAAUACAUCGGACUCUACUUUUUCGUGGGGGAUAACGUAGGGAAACUUACGCUAAUACCGCAUACGACCUACGGUUGAAAGCAGGGGAUCUUCGGACCUUGCGCGAUUGAAUUAGCCGAUGUCGGAUUAGCUAGUUGGCGGGGUAAAGGCCCACCAAGGCGACGAUCCGUAGCUGGUCUGAGAGGAUGAUCAGCCACACUGGAACUGAGACACGGUCCAGACGCCUAAGGGAGGGAGCAGUGGGGAAUAUUGGACAAUGGGCGCAAGCCUGAUCCAGCCAUACCGCGUGGGUGAAGAAGGCCUUCGGGUUGGAAAGACCGUUUGUUGGGAAAGAAAAGCAGCAGGUUAAUACCCCGCUGGUCUGACGGUACACAAAGAAUAAGCACCGGCUAACUUCGUG
RNAcentral lists this ribosomal RNA (492 nucleotides) under uncultured bacterium. RNAcentral describes it as "partial 16S ribosomal RNA". It matches the Rfam family "Bacterial small subunit ribosomal RNA", at positions 29 to 507 of the family's 1533-position model. The record is from RNAcentral.